RNAcentral lists this transfer RNA (71 nucleotides) under Magnusiomyces fungicola. RNAcentral describes it as "Saprochaete fungicola tRNA-Trp". It matches the Rfam family "tRNA". Rfam says of the family: Transfer RNA (tRNA) molecules are approximately 80 nucleotides in length. Their secondary structure includes four short double-helical elements and three loops (D, anti-codon, and T loops). The record is from RNAcentral. Lineage: Eukaryota; Fungi; Ascomycota; Dipodascomycetes; Dipodascales; Dipodascaceae.
AAGAGUGUAGUUUAAUGGUAAAACUUUAGGCUUCAAUCCUAGCAUUAAGGGUUCGAGUCCUUUCAUUCUUG